ACCGCAAACUGAUGAUCAUGGAUGUCUUCCGAAAGUUCCUUGUAGCCGCACAAGCAUCCGACCUCUACGGGUAUCCACAUGAGACUUUAAUCUGAUUAGAAGUCUUUUGAUCUCACUAGGGUGCUAGCUCCCUUAUAGAGAUCUCAUCUUGAUGGUUAAAAUUUUUUUUUUCUCUCAAGACACUCUUAGAGAAGAACAUAGGAAGACCUUGAUCUCUAUGCUAGAGAUCAUGAGAAGAACCCUUUCUUCUCUUUUCCUCUUAAAAUUCAUGCA
Molecule: long non-coding RNA, 273 nt
Filed under: Elaeis guineensis (African oil palm)
Lineage: Eukaryota; Viridiplantae; Streptophyta; Magnoliopsida; Arecales; Arecaceae
Description: long non-coding RNA (EGUI_LNC048859)
Source: RNAcentral